RNAcentral lists this ribosomal RNA (798 nucleotides) under uncultured Glomus. Its description in RNAcentral is "SSU rRNA". It matches the Rfam family "Eukaryotic small subunit ribosomal RNA", at positions 314 to 1114 of the family's 1831-position model. The record is from RNAcentral. Lineage: Eukaryota; Fungi; Glomeromycota; Glomeromycetes; Glomerales; Glomeraceae.
AUCAACUUUCGAUGGUAGGAUCGAGGCCUACCAUGGUGGUAACGGGUAACGGGGUGUUAGGGCACGACACCGGAGAGGGAGCCUGAGAAACGGCUACCACAUCCAAGGAUGGCAGCAGGCGCGCAAAUUACCCAAUCCCGACACGGGGAGGUAGUGACAAUAAAUAACAAUACGGGGUUCUUUCGGAUUUCGUAAUUGGAAUGAGUACAAUUUAAAUCUCUUAACGAGGAACAAUUGGAGGGCAAGUCUGGUGCCAGCAGCCGCGGUAAUUCCAGCUCCAAUGGCGUAUAUUAAAGUUGCUGCAGUUAAAAAGCUCGUAGUUGAAUUUCGGGACCAAUAUGUCGGUCGUGCCUCGGUACGUACUGGCAUCGUUGGUUUCUCCCUUCUGACGAACCAUGAUGUCAUUCAUUUGGUGUCGUGGGGAAUCAGGACUGUUACUUUGAAAAAAUUAGAGUGUUUAAAGCAGGCUCACGCUUGAAUACAUUAGCAUGGAAUAAUGAAAUAGGACGUUUGAUUCUAUUUUGUUGGUUUCUAGGAUCGACGUAAUGAUUAAUAGGGAUAGUUGGGGGCAUUAGUAUUCAAUUGUCAGAGGUGAAAUUCUUGGAUUUAUUGAAGACUAACUACUGCGAAAGCAUUUGCCAAGGAUGUUUUCAUUAAUCAAGAACGAAAGUUAGGGGAUCGAAGACGAUCAGAUACCGUCGUAGUCUUAACCAUAAACUAUGCCGACUAGGGAUCGGAUGAUGUUAAUUUUUUAAUGACUCAUUCGGCGCCUUACGGGAAACCAAAGUGUUUGGGUUC